This 253-nucleotide ribosomal RNA is filed under the name uncultured bacterium. RNAcentral's name for it is "partial 16S ribosomal RNA". It matches the Rfam family "Bacterial small subunit ribosomal RNA", at positions 524 to 776 of the family's 1533-position model. The record is from RNAcentral.
GACGUAGGGGGCCAGCGUUGCUCGGAAUUACUGGGCGUAAAGGGUUCGUAGGCGGUGUGGCAAGUCGGUAGUGAAAUCUCCAGGCUUAACUUGGAGGCUGCUGCCGAAACUGCCGUGCUAGAGUGCAGGAGAGGCGAGUGGAAUUACAGGUGUAGCGGUGAAAUGCGUAGAUAUCUGUAGGAACACCCGUGGCGAAGGCGGCUCGCUGGACUGCAACUGACGCUGAGGAACGAAAGCUAGGGGAGCAAACGGG